GCCAUGCUUGUGAGGAUUGUACGCUUAGGUACCCAAAGGUAAUGUCUGACAGGUUUGUGCUCUGCUGGUCAGUGGUCACCCGUCAACUGCGAACACUACGUAAUUUUUGUGGAAAUCGAACGAUCGAACCAUUAUUUAAAGACAAAUCAUACUGAAGGCUGCCAUCCUGGAGAUGUAUUAUAGUGAGAUUUUCCCGAGAUUGCUUUUUUGUGAUACUUUGUUCCCAAGCACACAAGUGGAAUGUCAUGUUGAAGUUUUAUGCAGUGAAGUACUGGUGCCUUGAAAUGGAACAUUACUGGGGAUGGGUCUUGUGAAUAACACUCACAUUAGAGUCGAUGCUAGGAAUGUUAAUUUAAAUGGGUGUACAAUACGAGGCUGAAGAGGGUCAGAAAGCGCCUGCAUGAAUCUUAGGACCGUUCUACAUACUACAGGAACUUCAAGAAUGGUUGUACAAGCAAGACAAAGAGGAUCUGGAGACCACCACAUUUAUUAUAUCAAGAUAUACAACUCUGCUAGAAGUAUGGAGCUGCUUCUCUAUUCUGCCACAAACUAGAAAAAUGUACAAUAUCACGACACGUACUUUCAGCGUGCCUGUUUGUGAUGACAAAGCCACAAGAAUUAGGGGAGUGCUACAGAGUGAUUGUAGGAGAUGACAAGAAUCUGGGGAAGGACAAAACCACAAGAAUUAAAGGAGCUAUACACACCGUGAUUGUUGGAGAUGACAAGACCACACCAAUCUCGGGAAGGCUACCCAGAGUGACUGUUGGAGACAAGACCACAAGAAUUGGGAAGGCUACAUGCACUACUAGAAUGUGAAGGAUUGCUACAAAACUCGGGUGGUUCACUAUCCACAAGCAGUAUCAUUACAAACCCUAUACCAUAUGCUAUCAGGUCUGGCAAAAUUUUUGUACAUAUUAGGACUUCGCAUAAAAUUUUGUACAUUCAUGGCCUGAUAGUAUAGUAGAGGGUUUGUAUUAAUAGGGCUUGUGGAUAGUGACUCACUUCAGCGUUAUCUCAGUUUCCAUAUUCUAGAAAGGCAUGUAAGAGGUCUUCCCAUGAUUUUUAAGGGUAGAUGAAUAUGGGACAUGAACAACAAACUCGUGAAGUCAUGGAUUAUUGAAAUCUAUCUUUAAUUCUUAUAUUAGUAUUAAGCAAACAGGAACUGGAAGUCAAACUUUGAUUGUCCCGGUUUAUUACUUUACUAUAGAUUUUAAAUUUCAUAUUUCUCCUUUAUCCUGCUUCUGGUCCUUCUUUUCUCUACUGCUUCGCGCUUGUUUAUGGUUUUCUCUGCUAUUUCCUUUG
Molecule: long non-coding RNA, 1302 nt
Organism: Macrobrachium nipponense
Lineage: Eukaryota; Metazoa; Arthropoda; Malacostraca; Decapoda; Palaemonidae
Exons: 3
Source: RefSeq, a predicted model, not a curated record